Molecule: ribosomal RNA, 395 nt
Filed under: uncultured Ehrlichia sp.
Lineage: Bacteria; Pseudomonadati; Pseudomonadota; Alphaproteobacteria; Rickettsiales; Anaplasmataceae
Description: bacterial SSU rRNA
Rfam family: Bacterial small subunit ribosomal RNA
Source: RNAcentral
UCAAUUGCUUAAUACCUUUUGGUUAUAAAUAAUUGUUAGUGGCAGACGGGUGAGUAAUGCGUAGGAAUCUACCUAGUAGUAUGGAAUAGCCAUUAGAAAUGAUGGGUAAUACUGUAUAAUCCCUGCGGGGGAAAGAUUUAUCGCUAUUAGAUGAGCCUACGUUAGAUUAGCUAGUUGGUAAGGUAAUGGCUUACCAAGGCUAUGAUCUAUAGCUGGUCUGAGAGGACGAUCAGCCACACUGGAACUGAGAUACGGUCCAGACUCCUACGGGAGGCAGCAGUGGGGAAUAUUGGACAAUGGGCGAAAGCCUGAUCCAGCUAUGCCGCGUGAGUGAAGAAGGCCUUCGGGUUGUAAAACUCUUUCAAUAGGGAAGAUAAUGCCGGGUACCUAUAAAA